RNAcentral lists this long non-coding RNA (234 nucleotides) under Lathyrus oleraceus (garden pea). Its description in RNAcentral is "Pisum sativum (pea) long non-coding RNA (PSAT_LNC019134)". Lineage: Eukaryota; Viridiplantae; Streptophyta; Magnoliopsida; Fabales; Fabaceae. The record is from RNAcentral.
GGUUUCUCGGUUGGAGUAGGUUCUUAAGAACCAAAGAUGGGUAUAGCUCUGCAUAAGUCAUAGGAAUCGGGUCAAAAGAGACCUUCUUCCUCUCAAAGUUUUGUUGAAUUUGUGGCGGGUUUCUCGGUUGGAGUAGGUUCUUAAGAACCAAAGAUGGGUAUAGCUCUGCAUAAGUCAUAGGAAUCGGGUCAAAAGAGACCUUCUUCCUCUCAAAGUUUUGUUGAUGAUGAUUGU